This is a non-coding RNA of Paramisgurnus dabryanus, 396 nucleotides long. The record is from the annotation of a RefSeq genome assembly. Lineage: Eukaryota; Metazoa; Chordata; Actinopteri; Cypriniformes; Cobitidae.
AUGACACAGUGGAUGAUUAUUGCUCUUUUCUUCAGUGCUCAUCAUUCUGGAUGUAACUCUCAGGACAGUGUUGACCAGAAUACAGGAUUUCAAACAGCUCUUGAAGGAGCAGCUGUAACAAUCUCCUGUACAUAUAAAAGCAUUGAUUCAUCUCCAACUCUCUUCUGGUACCAGCAAAAAGUCAAUGGAUUCCCAAAGUACAUGCUGAACAGAAUUGGUGCUCAUGGAGAUAAAGACAAAGAUUUUAAAGAGAGAUUUAAUGCAAAUAUUGACACAUCUUCAAAAUCAGUUCCUCUGAUAAUUCAGGAUCUUCAUGUGUCUGACUCUGCUGUGUAUUACUGUGCUCUGCGGCCCACAGUCACUAAAACACAUUCAACACUCAUACAAAAACCUUGA